AAUUUUAGACAAUGGGCGCAAGGCUGAUCCAGCCAUGCCGCGGGAGUGAAGUAGGCCUUCGGUUUNGAAAACUCUCUCGGACGGAANGAAAUCGUGCAGUCGAAUACCCUGCGCGGAUGACGGUACCGUCAUAAGAAGCACCGGCUAACUACGUGCCAGCAGUCGCGGUAAUACGUAGGGUGCGAGCGUUAAUCGGAAUUACUGGGCGUAAAGCGUGCGCAGGCGGUUGAUUAAGACAGGCGUGAAAGCCCCGGGCUUUACCUAGGAACUGCGCUUGUGACUGGUCAACUAGAGUACGGCAGAGGGGGGUGGAAUUCAACGUGUAGCAGUGAAAUGCGUAGAGAUGUGGAGGAACACCGAUGGCGAAGGCAGCCCCCUGUGACGAUACUGACGCUCAUGCACGAAAGCGUGGGUAGCAAACAGG
RNAcentral lists this ribosomal RNA (424 nucleotides) under uncultured bacterium. RNAcentral's name for it is "partial 16S ribosomal RNA". It matches the Rfam family "Bacterial small subunit ribosomal RNA", at positions 360 to 776 of the family's 1533-position model. The record is from RNAcentral.